RNAcentral lists this long non-coding RNA (1578 nucleotides) under Jatropha curcas. RNAcentral's name for it is "long non-coding RNA (JCUR_LNC002720)". Lineage: Eukaryota; Viridiplantae; Streptophyta; Magnoliopsida; Malpighiales; Euphorbiaceae. The record is from RNAcentral.
AAGGACUCCCUUAAUGUUAUCAUUUGUGAACUUUGCCAUUCCAGUUUCAGCUUGUUCUUCCUUUAUUCUUAACAGCACAUCUAUCACGUCGUCUUUCUCCUUAUUCCUUCCUGGUUUAAGAUGAUCAUUGAUUGCAUAUUCAAAAAAGGUAUCCAACUCAUGGAAAACUCUUUCAGUCCUAGCAUGAUGGCUGGUUAUCCAAUCAAAAACCCAACCAAAAUAUGGGAACAAUUCACUUUUAGAGAAGCUUCCUGCCACAGCUUCACCAUCAUGAACCACUUCAUGAAAUCUAUCUCUGUCGAAAUUAGUCCCCCGAUAAUCAAAUCCGAAAGACAUUCGAACUGUGAUAUUUGCAGUAAGGGAAAAUAACUUUUCUGUAAGAUUAAUGGGAGUUUCAGAAGCUGCUGAAUUGGAGAUUGAACUGAUGAACAAUUCAACUUCGGGCUGAAAAUUUUCUACGUAGUUUAGUAACAUAAACACGUAUUUUAUAUUCUACCGUAUUCUUUAUUGCAAAAUUACUAGAAAAUAAAUAAUUUACUAUGAUUUUCAUCUGAUGUUAUAAUAUAAUGGCUACUAAAAGUGCUCCACAGGCAAAAGGUUGAGAGGAGUCUUUUUAGAUACAGUGAGACUAAUACCAGGUUGCUCUUCCAUGUCGAUGUCUUCCCUCUUCAUUCCAUCGGGCAGUUUCCAAUCAAAACAAUACAGAAGGUUUGCAAGUACGAUCUCCACUGUUAUUGUUGCCAUAUGUAUCCCAGGACAAAUUCUUCUACCUGCUCCAAAUGGCAAGAAUUCAAAAUUUUGUCCUUUAAAGUCGAUGUCACUAUCAGCAAAUCUUUCAGGGAAGAAUUGUUCAGGAUCCUUCCAAUACUUAGGAUCACGUCCAAUUGCCCAGGCAUUAACUUGGAUUAGUGUCUUGGGAUAAAUGUCGUAGCCAUUGAUUUUAAAAUGAGAGAUUGUUUCUCUAGGAAGUAGCAGUGGAGCAGCAGGAUGCAAUCUGAAAGUUUCUUUUAUUACCAUCUUUAAGUAUUCAAGCUGGUCGAGAUCACCUUCAGUUAUUCUUCCUUUCUUUCCAACAACAUUUCUAACUUCAUCUUGCGCUUUCUUCAUCACACUCGGAUUCCGAGACAGCUCUGCCAUUGCCCAGUUCACGGUAAUCGCAGAAGUGUCUACUCCAGCUAAAAAUAAAUUCUGACGGACAAAUAUUACAUUUCAAUUAAUAGCACGGACUAGACAUAGAAGACGAAGAAAAUACUCAUAAAUGGAAUGUUGGAAACUUACCAGAAGGACUCCCUUAAUGUUAUCAUUUGUGAACUUUGCCAUUCCAGUUUCAGCUUGUUCUUCCUUUAUUCUUAACAGCACAUCUAUCACGUCGUCUUUCUCCUUAUUCCUUCCUGGUUUAAGAUGAUCAUUGAUUGCAUAUUCAAAAAAGGUAUCCAACUCAUGGAAAACUCUUUCAGUCCUAGCAUGAUGGCUGGUUAUCCAAUCAAAAACCCAACCAAAAUAUGGGAACAAUUCACUUUUAGAGAAGCUUCCUGCCACAGCUUCACCAUCAUGAACCACUUCAUGAAAUCUAUCUCU